CCUGACUGCUAUCGGAUUGAUACUAAGCCAUGCGAGUCUUUGUAGUAAUACAAGGCAUACGGCUCAGUAACGCGUAGUCAACCUACCCUAUGGACAAGAAUAAUCUCGGGAAACUGAGCAUAAUUCUUGAUAGACCAUAAUGCCUGGAAUGGUUUAUGGUUAAAAUGAUUCGUCGCCAUAGGAUGGGACUGCGGCCUAUCAGCUUGUUGGUGAGGUAAUGGCCCACCAAGGCGAUUACAGGUACGGGCUCUGAGAGGAGAAGCCCGGAGAUGGGUACUGAGACAAGGACCCAGGCCCUAUGGGGCGCAGCAGGCGAGAAAACUUUGCAAUGUGCGAAAGCACGACAAGGUUAGUCCGAGUGAUUUCUGCUAAAGAGAUCUUUUGCUAGUUAUAAAACCACUAGUGAAUAAGGGGUGGGCAAGUUCUGGUGUCAGCCGCCGCGGUAAAACCAGCACCUCAAGUGGUCAGGAUGAUUAUUGGGCCUAAAGCAUCCGUAGCCGGCUCUGUAAGUUUUCGGUUAAAUCUAUGCGCUCAACGUAUGGGCUGCCGAAAAUACUGUAGAGAUAGGGAGUGGGAGAGGUAGACGGUACUCGGUAGGAAGGGGUAAAAUCCUUUGAUCUAUCGAUGACCACCUGUGGCGAAGGCGGUCUACCAGAACACGUUCGACGGUGAGGGAUGAAAGCUGGGGGAGCAAACCGGAUUAGAUACCCGGGUAGUCCCAGCUGUAAACGAUGCAGACUCGAUGAUGCAUUGGCAUAUAGCCAGUGCAGUGUCGCAGGGAAGCCGUUAAGUCUGCCGCCUGGGAAGUACGUACGCAAGUAUGAAACUUAAAGGAAUUGGCGGGGGAGCACCACCAAGGGGUGAAGCCUGCGGUUC
This 876-nucleotide ribosomal RNA is filed under the name uncultured archaeon. Its description in RNAcentral is "bacterial SSU rRNA". It matches the Rfam family "Archaeal small subunit ribosomal RNA", at positions 21 to 903 of the family's 1478-position model. The record is from RNAcentral.